AGAGUUUGAUCCUGGCUCAGAACAAACGCUGGCGGCGUGUCUUAAGCAUGCAAGUCGAGCGGCAAGGGCAGCAAUGCCCCUAGAGCGGCGGACUGGUGAGUAACGCGUGGGUGAUCUACCUUUGGCAUGGGGAUAGCCAUUAGAAAUAGUGGGUAAUACCGAAUACGUUCGGCAUCGUGAGGGUGCUGAGGAAAGGUGCUACGGCACCGGCCGGAGAUGAGCCUGCGUCCGAUUAGCUAGUUGGUGAGGUAAAGGCCCACCAAGGCUAUGAUCGGUAGGCGGCCUGAGAGGGUGUACGCCCACAUUGGGACUGAGAUACGGCCCAAACUCCUACGGG
This 337-nucleotide ribosomal RNA is filed under the name uncultured bacterium. RNAcentral's name for it is "bacterial SSU rRNA". It matches the Rfam family "Bacterial small subunit ribosomal RNA", at positions 8 to 345 of the family's 1533-position model. The record is from RNAcentral.